GGCUGAUAUAAGAUAGGGCCAGGAUAGAUAGGUAGACUGAUAUAAGAUAGGGCCAGGAUAGAUAGGUAGACUGAUAUAAGAUAGGGCCAGGAUAGAUAGGUAGGCUGAUAUAAGAUGGGGCCAGGAUAGAAAGGUAGACUGAUAUAAGAUAGGGCAAGGAUAGAUAGGUAGGCUGAUAUAAGAUGGGGCCAGGAUAGAAAGGUAGACUGAUAUAAGAUUGGGCCAGGAUAGAUAGGUAGACUGAUAUAAGAUGGGGCCAGGAUAGAUAGGUAGACUGAUAUCAGAUGGGGCCAGGAUAGAUAGAGAGUGGCUGAUAUAAGAUGGGGCCAGGAUAGAUAGGUAGGCUGAUAUAAGAUGGGGCCAGGAUAGAUAGGUAGACUGAUAUAAGAUGGGGCCAGGCUGGAUAGGUAGGCUGAUAUAAGAUGGGGCCAGGAUAGAUAGGUAGGCUGAUAUAAGAUGGGGCCAGGAUAGAUAGGAAGACUGAUAUAAGAUGGGGCCAGGAUAGAUAGGUAGACUGAUAUCAGAUGGGGC
Long non-coding RNA from Oncorhynchus tshawytscha (Chinook salmon), 531 nucleotides. Lineage: Eukaryota; Metazoa; Chordata; Actinopteri; Salmoniformes; Salmonidae. The record is from Ensembl.